AUUGAACGCUGGCGGCAGGCCUAACACAUGCAAGUCGAGCGGAUGAAGUAGCUUGCUACUGAUUCAGCGGCGGACGGGUGAGUAAUGCCUAGGAAUCUGCCUGGUAGUGGGGGACAACGUUUCGAAAGGAACGCUAAUACCGCAUACGUCCUACGGGAGAAAGUGGGGGACCCUCGGGCCUCACGCUAUCAGAUGAGCCUAGGUCGGAUUAGCUAGUUGGUGGGGUAAUGGCUCACCAAGGCGACGAUCCGUAACUGGUCUGAGAGGAUGAUCAGUCACACUGGAACUGAGACACGGUCCAGACUCCUACGGGAGGCAGCAGUGGGGAAUAUUGGACAAUGGGCGAAAGCCUGAUCCAGCCAUGCCGCGUGUGUGAAGAAGGUCUUCGGAUUGUAAAGCACUUUAAGUUGGGAGGAAGGGUCGUAACCUAAUACGUUGCGAUUUUGACGUUACCAACAGAAUAAGCACCGGCUAACUUCGUGCCAGCAGCCGCGG
RNAcentral lists this ribosomal RNA (495 nucleotides) under uncultured bacterium. Its description in RNAcentral is "bacterial SSU rRNA". It matches the Rfam family "Bacterial small subunit ribosomal RNA", at positions 30 to 520 of the family's 1533-position model. The record is from RNAcentral.